UCCAUAGGUCAGUGAGAGAGGACGCUCCCUGCUCCUCUUCUUCUGCUCUCCCCACACCUGAGAGACCGAGAGAGAGAGAGAGAAAGAGAGUGAGAACUGAUCACUAACCCACUCAAAAACCCACAGAAUCCUGUAAUCCCCGGAAAUCCCACUUAUAAAGGAUCCGAUUCUCCUUUUGUGGGGAUUGAGAAGCGGAAAUCCUAAAUAUCCUACAUUUCUUGGUUACAGAAAAGGAUUAGAUGUCAUUUAUCCAUCCUGACGUGAAUAGGAUUACCUGAGGAUUGCCUUAAGUGGGAUUCUAAAGAGGAUUUAAGGCUGUGUAUGGAUUCUGACGCUCUAAAAAGGUGGAUUUAGAGGAUUAGUGUUUGUGUGAGUCCUCCUCGUGAAUCACUUUAUAGAAAACGGAGAGUGGAAGUGUGGAGGGAGUCUUUACACUAAUCCACCUCUUAGGUUCGAAAACUUCUAUUUGUUGGUUUUGGACAGCGUUGGAUUGGUCAUGAAGAGUUGGCGCGAAGCAGUAAUGGUGAUGGUGGUGGUGCUGGUGGCGGCGGCGGCCGAGCCCUGCGCCGCCGCCGCCCACAGGUCUGUGCACCGGCGCCAGGCUGCCGCGCCCUCUCCCGCCAUGGACUCCUUCCUGGCGGGGCUGGGCGACGGGGACAACACAGUGCUGGGCAGCCUCCUGCAGCUAGGCACGGAGGAUCUGGACUUGUGGGACCCGCUGCUGCAGCCAGGCACACCGCGGCGCCCCGCCCUGCACCAGCCGCAGCCCCCAGGCCCACCACAGCCCCCGCCACAGCACAACCACACACAGCAGCAGCAGCAGCAGGGGGCCAGUGGGAUGUCAGCCGGCCAGGCCACCGCCGCAGUGGGCGCACUGAUGCGGCAGCUGCAUAACAUGACCUUCCUGCCCCUGGUGCCACGGGAGGGCGACCCGCCCCACGCCCACGGCGACGACCCGCUGCUGCUGCAGUACCUGGACGCCGUGCGAGGCGACGCGUGGGCGCAGUUCAAGAGCCUGGCGGUGGGGUACAGCAGCUGGCUGGAGCACGAGUACAGCCUGCAGCACCUCACCGCCGCGCUGCCCCUGGACCUCGUCAAGAAGGUUCUGGACCUCGGGGACCGCGUCAACUUCUUGCGCGUGGUGGGACGCCGCGUGGACCCCGGUCUGGCUGCCUUCCUGGCCGACAAAAUGCAGCCGCUGUUCGACCACUUCAGCCAGCUGGCGGCGGGGCGAAUGGUGGGCGGCAGCCUGGCCAACGCGGUGGGCGGCGUGGUGCGCGACGCCGCCUGGAAGACGCUGCGGCAGUUUGUGGAUCACGUGCUUAGUGUGGCGGGCGGCGUCGUGACGCGGGAGGAGAUUGAACACUUCCGCGAGGACCUGGCCAAGACCAGCCCCCUGGCGGCGCGCGGCCUGCAGAUGCUGCUGGACGGCCCGCCACCAGAGGAGGGGGUGGGGGAGGAGGAGGAAGAGGAAGCCGAGGGACGCUCCAUCUCCAGGAACGGUUAUCGAGACUACCACGACGGCGGGUACGGCGGCCACGGGGCCUAUGACGACUCGUACGGCACGUACGGCGGCGUGUCGCAGGGCUACUCCUCGGGGGGGUACGCCGCGGGGGUGCACAUGGACCCGUACCUCAUCCUGGCGGGGCUGGGCGCCGCCGUGCUGCUGGCCUACCUGGCCUACCGCGUGCUGGUCACCACGGAGGCAGGUGGGGAUGGCAGGAGCCUGCUGGACGACCUGGCGCUGCGGGACCUGUCUGACACGCCCGUGGUGCUGCACUCCCUGCACAGCUUGCUGGACGACGCUGAGCGCAAGUACGACACCAAACGGUCCGCGCCGCGCGACGACAUGGAUGACUUCACUGACGCCCUCAACGACCUGUGGUACCAACACCAGGCGGCGGACGGCUGCGUGCGCUGCGCCCUCUUCGACGCCAUGCUGGACUAUGCUCACGUGGGCAGCGCCUCCACCUCCGUGCCCGCACUGGCCGUGUCGUGGCUGGCUCACCUGCUGGGCGCCGAGAGGUCAGGCCAGCUGGUGGACCAGGUGGUGGGCCAGGUGGUGGAAGGACAGCCCGUGACUUGCCGCCGCCACCAACACACCUGUGACCUCAAGUGACCUGUGUGUGUGUGUGUGUGUGUGUGUGUGUGUGUGUGUGUGUGUGUGUGUGUGUGUGUGUGUGUGUGUGUGUGCGUGUG
RNAcentral lists this unclassified non-coding RNA (2199 nucleotides) under Portunus trituberculatus (swimming crab). RNAcentral's name for it is "uncharacterized LOC123510097, transcript variant X2". Lineage: Eukaryota; Metazoa; Arthropoda; Malacostraca; Decapoda; Portunidae. The record is from RNAcentral.